Molecule: ribosomal RNA, 467 nt
Filed under: uncultured bacterium
Lineage: Bacteria
Description: partial 16S ribosomal RNA
Rfam family: Bacterial small subunit ribosomal RNA
Source: RNAcentral
GAUGAACGCUGGCGGCGCGCCUAACACAUGCAAGUCGAACGAUUAAAGCACCAUCGGGUGUGUAUAAAGUGGCGGACGGCCGGGUAACACGUGGGCAGACUGCCCAUCUCAUAGGGUUAGCCACGGGCAACAGUGGAUAAUACAGAAUACAUCGGGACUUCCGCCUGGAAGACUCGAGAAAGAUCCGGCGGAGGGGGAUGGGCACGCGGCCUGUUAGCUUGUAGGUGAAGUAUUGGCCUACCAAGGCAAUGAUGGGUAGCUGGGUUGAGAGACCGACCAGCCAGAUUGGGACUGAGACACGGCCCAGACGCCUACGGGAGGCAGCAGUGGGGAAUCUUGCACAAUGGGCGAAAGCCUGAGGCAGCGACGCCGCGUGCGUGAUGAAGGCCUUCGGGUUGUAAACCGCUGUCAGCAGGGACGAGGCGAAAGUGACGGUACCUGCAGAAGAAGCCCCGGCUAACUACGUG